UCCUACGGGACGCAGCAGUGGGGAAUAUUGCACAAUGGGGGAAACCCUGAUGCAGCGACGCCGCGUGAGUGGAGAAGUAUCUCGGUACGUAAAGCUCUAUCAGCAGGGAAGAAAAAAAGUCUUUGGCUUUGGACGGUACCUGACUAAGAAGCCCCGGCUAACUACGUGCCAGCAGCCGCGGUAAUACGUAGGGGGCAAGCGUUAUCCGGAUUUACUGGGUGUAAAGGGAGCGCAGGCGGCUUGGCAAGUCUGAUGUGAAAGGCUGGGGCUCAACCCCAGGACUGCAUUGGAAACUGUUAGGCUGG
RNAcentral lists this ribosomal RNA (305 nucleotides) under uncultured bacterium. Its description in RNAcentral is "bacterial SSU rRNA". It matches the Rfam family "Bacterial small subunit ribosomal RNA", at positions 337 to 644 of the family's 1533-position model. The record is from RNAcentral.